CUGGCUCAGGAUGAACGCUAGCGGCAGGCUUAACACAUGCAAGUCGAGGGGCAUCGGGAGUAGCAAUACUUGCCGGCGACCGGCGCAAGGGUGCGUAACGCGUGAGCAACAUGCCCGUAUCAGGGGGAUAAUCCAUGGAAACGUGGUCUAAUACCCCAUAGUAAUUAUGUAAGGCAUCUUAUAUAAUUUAAAGCUUUGGUGGAUACGGAUUGGCUCGCGUGACAUUAGCUAGAUGGUAAGGUAACGGCUUACCAUGGCUACGAUGUCUAGGGGUUCUGAGAGGAAGGUCCCCCCACACUGGAACUGAGACACGGUCCAGACUCCUACGGGAGGCAGCAGUGAGGAAUAUUGGACAAUGGAUGGAAAUCUGAUCCAGCCAUGCCGCGUGCAGGAAAGACGGCCCUAUGGGUUGUAAACUGCUUUUGUAUGGGAGCAAUAAGGGCUACGUGUAGUCCGAUGAGAGUACCAUACGAAUAAGCAUCGGCUAACUCCGUGCCAGCCGCCGC
Molecule: ribosomal RNA, 506 nt
Filed under: uncultured bacterium
Lineage: Bacteria
Description: bacterial SSU rRNA
Rfam family: Bacterial small subunit ribosomal RNA
Source: RNAcentral